Non-coding RNA from Hypoxylon fragiforme, 85 nucleotides. Lineage: Eukaryota; Fungi; Ascomycota; Sordariomycetes; Xylariales; Hypoxylaceae. The record is from the annotation of a RefSeq genome assembly.
GCACUAAUGGGGUAGUGGUAACCUCAAAGUUUCCCAUGCGGAAUACUGCUUACUUUGGCCCCGUGUUCGAUUCACGGUUAGUGCA